RNAcentral lists this ribosomal RNA (333 nucleotides) under uncultured Mycenaceae. RNAcentral's name for it is "eukaryotic LSU rRNA". Lineage: Eukaryota; Fungi; Basidiomycota; Agaricomycetes; Agaricales; Mycenaceae. The record is from RNAcentral.
UGAAUCAUCAUAAUCUUCUCGCAUACGCGCCUUGCUGUCCCUUUGGUAUUCCGAAGGGCAUGCCUGUUUGAGUGUCAUUAAAUUAUCAACCUUGCUCGCUUUUACUAUCUUGAUUUUGGCUUGAGAUGUCGUAUGGCUUUGCUGGCUUCCUCUCAUUGCGAUGGUCUGCUCCCUUAUAAAUGCAUUAUGGGAUCUCAUUGUGGACCGUCACUUGGUGUGAUAAUUAUCUAUGCCUCGAGACUUUGAAGCAAAUUAAUGGGAGCCUGCUUAUAACCGUCUUCGGACAAUCUCUGACAUUUUGACCUCAAUCANGUANGACUACCCGCUGAACUU